Molecule: ribosomal RNA, 497 nt
Filed under: uncultured bacterium
Lineage: Bacteria
Description: partial 16S ribosomal RNA
Rfam family: Bacterial small subunit ribosomal RNA
Source: RNAcentral
GAUGAACGCUGGCGGCGUGCCUAAUACAUGCAAGUCGAGCGAACGGACGAGAAGCUUGCUUCUCUGAUGUUAGCGGCGGACGGGUGAGUAACACGUGGAUAACCUACCUAUAAGACUGGGAUAACUUCGGGAAACCGUAGCUAAUACCGGAUAAUAUUUUGAACUGCAUGGUUCAAAAGUGAAAGACGGUCUUGCUGUCACUUAUAGAUGGAUCCGCGCUGCAUUAGCUAGUUGGUAAGGUAACGGCUUACCAAGGCAACGAUGCAUAGCCGACCUGAGAGGGUGAUCGGCCACACUGGAACUGAGACACGGUCCAGACUCCUACGGGAGGCAGCAGUAGGGAAUCUUCCGCAAGGGGCGAAAGCCUGACGGGGCAACGCCGCGUGAGUGAUGAAGGUCUUCGGAUCGUAAAACUCUGUUAUUAGGGAAGAGCAUAUGUGUAAGUAACUGUGCACAUCUUGACGGUACCUAAUCAGAAAGCCACGGCUAACUACGUG